Molecule: non-coding RNA, 81 nt
Organism: Morus notabilis
Lineage: Eukaryota; Viridiplantae; Streptophyta; Magnoliopsida; Rosales; Moraceae
Source: Rfam
CUGUGUGAUGAAAAACAGGAGAUCCAGCACCAGACUGACCCGAGAAAGAUGUGGUAAAAGAUCGCCCAUUAUUGUCUGGGA